UACCUACGGGACGCAGCAGUGGGGAAUAUUGGACAAUGGGGGGAACCCUGAUCCAGCGACGCCGCGUGAGUGAAGAAGUAUUUCGGUAUGUAAAGCUCUAUCAGCAGGGAAGAAAGAAAUGACGGUACCUGACUAAGAAGCCCCGGCUAACUACGUGCCAGCAGCCGCGGUAAUACGUAGGGAGCGAGCGUUGUCCGGAUUUACUGGGUGUAAAGGGUGCGUAGGCGGCCCUGCAAGUCAGAAGUGAAAUCCAUGGGCUUAACCCGUGAACUGCUUUUGAAACUGCAGGACUUGAGUGGAGUAGA
Molecule: ribosomal RNA, 305 nt
Filed under: uncultured bacterium
Lineage: Bacteria
Description: bacterial SSU rRNA
Rfam family: Bacterial small subunit ribosomal RNA
Source: RNAcentral